AUUGAACGCUGGCGGCAUGCUUUACACAUGCAAGUCGAACGGUAACAGGUUAAGCCGACGAGUGGAGAACGGGUCAGUAAUGCAUCGGAACGUCCCCGGUCGAGGGGGAUAACACAACGAAAGCUGCGCUUAUACCCCAUACGAUCUGAGGAUAAAAGCGGGGGACCGUAAGGCCUCGACCGAACCGAGCGUCCCAUGUCAGAUUAGGUAGUUGGUGGGGUAAAGUCUCACCAAGCCAACGAUCUGUAGCUGGUCUGAGAGGACGACCAGCCACACUGGGACUGAGACACGGCCCAGACUCCUACGGGAGGCAGCAGUGGGGAAUUUUGGACAAUGGGCGAAAGCCUGAUCCAGCAAUGCCGCGUGCAGGAAGAAGGCCUUCGGGUUGUAAACUGCUUUUGUACGGAGCGAAAAGGUCUCCUCUAAUACAGGGGGCUCAUGACGGUACCGUAAGAAUAAGCACCGGCUAACUACGUGCCAGCCGCCGCAGUAA
This 493-nucleotide ribosomal RNA is filed under the name uncultured bacterium. Its description in RNAcentral is "partial 16S ribosomal RNA". It matches the Rfam family "Bacterial small subunit ribosomal RNA", at positions 30 to 523 of the family's 1533-position model. The record is from RNAcentral.